GAUGAAGAACGUAGCAAAAUGCGAUAAGUAAUGUGAAUUGCAGAAUUCAGUGAAUCAUCGAAUCUUUGAACGCACAUUGCGCCCGCUGGUAUUCCGGCGGGCAUGCCUGUUCGAGCGUCAUUUCAACCCUCAAGCCCCCGGGUUUGGUGUUGGGGAUCGGCUCUGCCCUUCUGGGCGGUGCCGCCCCCGAAAUACAUUGGCGGUCUCGCUGCAGCCUCCAUUGCGUAGUAGCUAACACCUCGCAACUGGAACGCGGCGCGGCCAUGCCGUAAAACCCCAACUUCUGAAUGUUGACCUCGGAUCAGGUAGGGAUACCCGCUGAACUUAAGCAUAUCAAUAAGCGAGGA
RNAcentral lists this unclassified non-coding RNA (347 nucleotides) under soil metagenome. RNAcentral describes it as "partial contains 5.8S ribosomal RNA, internal transcribed spacer 2, and large subunit ribosomal RNA". The stretch from base 1 to 120 matches the Rfam family "5.8S ribosomal RNA", at positions 35 to 154 of the family's 154-position model. The record is from RNAcentral.